RNAcentral lists this ribosomal RNA (557 nucleotides) under uncultured bacterium. RNAcentral describes it as "bacterial SSU rRNA". It matches the Rfam family "Bacterial small subunit ribosomal RNA", at positions 102 to 694 of the family's 1533-position model. The record is from RNAcentral.
ACGGGUGAGUAACGCGUGGGAAUCUACCGUGCCCUGCGGAAUAGCUCCGGGAAACUGGAAUUAAUACCGCAUACGCCCUACGGGGGAAAGAUUUAUCGGGGUAUGAUGAGCCCGCGUUGGAUUAGCUAGUUGGUGGGGUAAAGGCCUACCAAGGCGACGAUCCAUAGCUGGUCUGAGAGGAUGAUCAGCCACAUUGGGACUGAGACACGGCCCAAACUCCUACGGGAGGCAGCAGUGGGGAAUAUUGGACAAUGGGCGCAAGCCUGAUCCAGCCAUGCCGCGUGAGUGGUGAAGGCCUUAGGGUUGUAAAGCUCUUUCACCGGAGAAGAUAAUGACGGUAUCCGGAGAAGAAGCCCCGGCCAACUUCGUGCCAGCAGCCGCGGUAAUACGAAGGGGGCUAGCGUUGUUCGGAAUUACUGGGCGUAAAGCGCACGUAGGCGGAUAUUUAAGUCAGGGGUGAAAUCCCAGAGCUCAACUCUGGAACUGCCUUUGAUACUGGGUAUCUUGAGUAUGGAAGAGGUAAGUGGAAUUCCGAGUGUAAAGGUGAAAUUCGUAGA